UCCUAUUCGGCCAUCUUGGCUCCUCCCUCCAUCGGUAAACCAACUCUUUAACAAAGGGGAGCUGAGGCUCUGUGGCUGGAACCUGGGACUUAGGCCUGAAUUAAUCAGAGCAAUGCACUCCACUGGCCCUGUGUGGGUGAGCACAUGGAUGGCAUGCUGAUCACAUUUCCAGGCCACCAUGAGGCAGAAGUAGAGCUAAUAGACUGGAUGAAAGAAGAAUGAGCCAGAGCAAUGCCGACAGUCUGCAAAGCCAGGUCAAGUUAGGCAACCUGGAGCAUAACAGAGAAAUGCAAAGUCCAGCCCUUGGGUCCAGACAAGUUACACAACGAUGGCAGAUGUUCUUGAUGAAUGGAUAAUGUUGUCUUUAGAUGUUCUCAACCAUCCUGGGCACGUGAAAACCCACCCGAUGGCUCUCAUCAAGUGGAAAAGAAGAAGGGGAAAUCCGAGCAAAAAGAUAUUACAGACUCGUCUUCCUGAGACACGUGCACCUGCUAAGGGAGUAGCAUUAAGGAAAUCUACAAAGUCAGCCUCUGAUUAUCAAGGUUCUUCCUUAAGGAGAAAAGGAAAAAAGCAAAAGCAAAAUAACACAUUUACUUCAAAGAACUCCUGUCUGAUUGAGCGAAGGAAAAGUAGCCUCAUUGCUUUGAUCCUUUCACUGAGCAAAACAACAUGAAAAGCGAAGACAAGGCUCAAAAUAUGGGCUUUUGUUGAGCGCAUCAUUAGGAGUGUUUAUUGGCUGCUGCAAACACACAUCCCAGCUCCAGAGCACGCGCAUGAAGUGGAGAUUCGUGGAGCCCUCGAGCCAGUUCUUUGGUUUUCAGGGCCUCUGCUCCUGUGGUCACCUGAGGACUGACUCAAGCUGAUGGAAGCCUUGACAUGUGCUCCCACCAUCUCCCUGGCAAGUGAAGAAGGUGUGAUGACUCAUGGCUUGGCUCUCUAAAGUUCAACCUUCUAUACACAAACCAUCGGUCACAGACAGUUAUCAGUUAUAUGGCCACCCUAAUUUCAAAAGAGAGAAGUACAAUCCCACCAUGUGCUCACAGAGGGGAGAACUAGGGGAAGUCAUAGAUUUGAAGCCCUUGGAGGGAUUUGGCAUGCCACUGCUGGCUCAAAGAUGGAGGCAGCCACAUGUCAAGGAGUGUGGGCAUCCUUCAGGAGCUGCGAGUAGCCCCACCUGACAGCCAGCAAGGAAACAGUGACCUCAGACCUGCAGCUGCAAUCAG
RNAcentral lists this long non-coding RNA (1223 nucleotides) under Homo sapiens (human). Its description in RNAcentral is "HSALNT0054830". Lineage: Eukaryota; Metazoa; Chordata; Mammalia; Primates; Hominidae. The record is from RNAcentral.